RNAcentral lists this ribosomal RNA (787 nucleotides) under uncultured bacterium. RNAcentral describes it as "bacterial SSU rRNA". It matches the Rfam family "Bacterial small subunit ribosomal RNA", at positions 637 to 1425 of the family's 1533-position model. The record is from RNAcentral.
UAAGCUAGAGUAUNUCAGAGGGGGGUAGAAUUCCACGUGUAGCAGUGAAANGCGUAGAGAUGUGGAGGAAUACCGAUGGCGAAGGCAGCCCCCUGGGAUAAUACUGACGUUCAUGCUCGAAAGCGUGGGUAGCAAACAGGAUUAGAUACCCUGGCANUCCACGCCCUAAACGAUGUCAAUUAGCUGUUGGGGCACUUGAUGCCUUAGUAGCGAAGCUAACGCGUGAAAUUGACCGCCUGGGGAGUACGGUCGCAAGAUUAAAACUCAAAGGAAUUGACGGGGACCCGCACAAGCGGUGGAUGAUGUGGAUUAAUUCGAUGCAACGCGAAGAACCUUACCUGGUCUUGACAUGUACGGAAUCUUCCAGAGACGGAAGAGUGCCUUCGGGAGCCGUAACACAGGUGCUGCAUGGCUGUCGUCAGCUCGUGUCGUGAGAUGUUGGGUUAAGUCCCGCAACGAGCGCAACCCUUGUCAUUAGUUGCCACCAUUCAGUUGGGCACUCUAAUGAGACUGCCGGUGACAAACCGGAGGAAGGUGGGGAUGACGUCAAGUCCUCAUGGCCCUUAUGACCAGGGCUUCACACGUCAUACAAUGGUCGGUACAGAGGGUAGCCAAGCCGCGAGGUGGAGCCAAUCUCAGAAAACCGAUCGUAGUCCGGAUUGCACUCUGCAACUCGAGUGCAUGAAGUCGGAAUCGCUAGUAAUCGCAGGUCAGCAUACUGCGGUGAAUACGUUCCCGGGUCUUGUACACACCGCCCGUCACACCAUGGGAGUGGGGGAUACCAGAA